AAACGCUUGAAGUCAGUCGCGUCGUUCAGGAUUCAGCCUUGCUUUUGCUUGGUGCACUUCCUGUUCGAUGGGUCAGCAUCAGUUUUGGCCGGUGGAUAAAGGCUCAGAGAAUGUGGCAUCUUCGGAUGUGUUAUAGCCUUUACUUGCAUACAGUGGUUGGGAUUGAGGAACUCAGCACGCCGCAAGGCCGGGUUUCGACCACGUUCGUGCUUAGGAUGCUGGCAUAAUGGCUUUAAUCGA
RNAcentral lists this ribosomal RNA (240 nucleotides) under Mycena noctilucens. RNAcentral describes it as "partial large subunit ribosomal RNA". The record is from RNAcentral. Lineage: Eukaryota; Fungi; Basidiomycota; Agaricomycetes; Agaricales; Mycenaceae.